GAGGAUACGUGUAUGAAUGAUAAUGAAUCACUUCUUGUUGUAAUGCGUUUGUUGAGUAAGGAUGCAUAUGUGGGAAAAACACGUUUGAGGUGUCAAAUGGUUAAGUGUGCGCUGGGAAAAGUGGAGUCUGUCAGAGUGACCAGGAGUGACCUUAUUUUGAUUCAUUGUAUUUCUGAAGAACAGAGUAAGAUUGCAGUGAGCCUCAAAAGAAUGCGAACAACAUAAGUUUUGAACUUGAGUAGAGCACCCGUCAAAGGAGUCAUCUCAGGGGUGAAAAUUGAUGUUCAGGUUCCCGACGGAAGGAGUAUAUUGAAGAACGGUAUGUUGAAGGAGGACAGCGUUGCAAUUGUGGUGGGGAUCAUGAUCCAGCGUUCCUGGAUUGCCCUGUAAGGGUGAAGGAGAUUGACAUGGCAAAAGAAUCCUGUUUCCAUCCCGCACAGUAGGUGGCGAUAUACCAUUGCCAAUAUACCAUAGAAGAAUAAGAAGAUUCGGACACAACGGGGCCUGCAGGAGGACAGGUGACCCUGUACCUGCCUGAAGAAAGUGGGGGUAGGGGGUGCGUGCAGCUGGAAAACAAGACCAAGAUACAUUGUUGGCGGUGGUGCUUCAUGGGACUUUCAUAGUAGGUUAGGAGAGAAUUUUCGCUAAACUUAACCUCAGUCUCCUAACCUGCUAUGUUAAUUCUCCUAACCUGCUGCUUUAAUUUGCCUAACCUUCUGCAUCAAUUCUCUUAACCUGGUACGAAAAAGUCACUUUGGUAUCGAAGUGGCGUGAAGAGAGUCUUUCCCUGUGCUUCAUAGCUUAAAAAGCUUAAACUGAAAGCUGAAAUAACCUUUUAGGUACCAGCAGAGCUUGGGUAAUUAUAUAACUUGUCACAUAUAAUCUUAAAAUUCAAAGGGAAGAUGACUUUAAACAUCUUGUGGCUGCUGCUUAUUUACUAGACCGGGCAUGCUAUUAAACAUAUUAUCGCCUAAUCAGACCAUUUUUACUGAUCCAGCUGGGUGAGCCUUUUGUGAAUUAACACUCGGCACUUUACUUUUUUCCCCAUUACUAUCUAUGACUUUGCUGAGCAGGGUGUUUUCCUCCUCCAGAAACCUGUACUCCAGGGGCUGGGGUGAGAGGGCCGCCUGCACCCCCAGCUCAUAGUGCCCCCCUCCGUUCCCGUCCAGCCGGAGACCCUCCAGCCUGCGUCUGGAGGGUCUGGGGGGCUACUUACUAUGACUGUGAUUUGUGGUUGUCCCUCCAAUCUUAAGAUGAAUGCAAGUCUGAAUGCAAAACUGUAAGUCGUUCUUGAUAAAAGCGUCUGCCAAAUGACUCAAAUGAAUGUUGAGCAUAGCACAAAUGUUCAACCAACCUUUACUUGGUGAUACUUUCUCAAUUACCGACUUGGAAGACAACAUGUCUUCUAAACUUCCAAGUCUAGUUGCAGGAGGUUCAUUUGAAUGUAGAAAAUGCUCCGUUAUUACAUUUAAGAAAUGUUUUGCUCCAUGAAGUAAUCCAACAAUGUGUGCUUCUUUGAUGAAGUUUAACGGUGGUUGACAUCCAAUAAAUGUUGCAUUUACCGCCACCUACUAGACUGGAGUAUAACUCCCUUAUACUUUGCUUGAAAAAAUGAAUAAACCAAUACCCUA
This is a long non-coding RNA of Oncorhynchus tshawytscha (Chinook salmon), 1631 nucleotides long. NCBI's taxonomy places the organism in Eukaryota, Metazoa, Chordata, Actinopteri, Salmoniformes, Salmonidae. The record is from Ensembl.